UGACCAUUGCUGCUGUCUUUUUUUUUAAUGAUUUUUAUUUUUUCCAUUAUAGUUGGUUUACAGUGUUCUGUCAGUUUUCCACUGUACAGCAAAGUGACCCAGUCUCUCUCUCUCUCAUACACACUUACACAUACUCUUUUUCUCAGUUAUCCUCCAUCAUGUCCCAUCACAAGUAGCUAGAUAUAAUUCCCAGUGCUCUACAGCAGGAUGUCAUUGCUUAUCCAUUCCAGAUGCAAUAGUUUGCAUCUGUUAAACCCAGAUUGCUGCUGACUCUGAUCCAUCCUAAAAUCUUUGGAAGGUAAGCAUUGGUCUUUGCCAGAGGAUGGAGGACAUAAUGUAAUUUGGUGGAGGUCACACAGUCUUACGUGUUAUCUCCAGCUGUGUUCUUUUUUUUUUUUUUUUCUCAGAGUCCUUGUCUUGCCCUGAGUCUGGGAAUUGGGCUAGGAAUUGGACACCUUUCUGACAUUUUUCACAUUAAAGGGUAUAAGCAGAAGGGUAGUUACCAUUCCCAGCCCAUCUUUCCACCAGGGAUCUGUGUCCAAAAGGACUUUUCCCCCUUUCCCUUCCCUUCUUGGGUUUCAGUUAUCCUGACUGUGAGGGGGACAUACUAUACUCUCUGAGCCCCCUGAAGUUCCUAGAGUACUGCCCACCCACCGCCCCAGCAUUCUUUAGCUUUCUCUCUACUGGUUGUGGCUUCUCUUCUUGGGUGCCAUCUAGGUACAACAAGCAUUGUUCUUCUCCUCAAGCAAAGCCAGAAGAGUAAUUGCACCUCCUAAUUGCUGUAGGACAUCGAAGAAAUUUUCUUUCUGUGAGGCAGUCAGGACUCUCUGCUUUCCUUGAGAGGUAUGAUUGAGUUCUCCAAAUCCCAGUUUUUGCGUGAUGCUGGGCUGCAGUUUUAGUGGAAGAGUGAUAGGUAAAGGGUGUUGCCCAUUUGUCUUUUUUGGGGUGUUCCUUUGCUGCUGGCAUUCUAAAAACACUACAACAGGCUUUGAACUGCUGUGCCCAGCCCGUCUUCUUAUCUCCAGGAUCUGAGCCGGCAGUGCAGGCGUCACCCAAUCUGUGCCUGGCUACCCCGGCUCCUCAGAGGUGAGCAGCAAAUGCCAACUUUCUCCACCCUCCCCGUUGCUUGCCAGCCCUGAAUUCCAGCCUCAGGAGAAUUUUUGCUGGGUGUGGGACUCAGUCCGACAGUACCUUAAGCAGAGCAUGGUACACCGUUCACACCUGCCAAAACCUGUUCUAAACAGGUCAGAUCUACCCUUUCUGAUUCUAAACUUCCUUGGGCAGAACCCAACCCUUUCCAGGAAGUGUUAUGAUUUUUUUCCUCCCUUUUAGUCUUGUUUUGUUUUUUAAGAAAUUUGGAGUUUGAAGUUGAGAUCUGAAAAAUGUCUUUCCUCACCUCUCCCUGUCCUAGGUAUUCACCUAGGAAUUGCAGAAGAUUCUUUUCAGCCAAAUUUAAGAAGGCUGCCUCCCUUUCCCUCCCUCUGCCCAUCAUUCUUUAUCUGCUUUUGGAAUUUAAAGCAGAACUCAUUUUCAUCACAAGGCCACUGAUAUAUCAGAAAUGAUAUGUGACCCAUCAUCUCUGUAUACCAAGUAUCCAACAGAAUCACGGUUACUGUCACAAAGCAUAUUGAGUUCGGUUCUAAGGAUUGACGUCUCUCUUUGUUACGGAUGUUCUAGGACUUCCAGCAAUCCCCAAGGAGGUCCCCAUGCACACUGGAUAAGCAUCAGAACACAGUCUCCUGUGUUUGAGCAAUAUCAUUUCCUUUAUUUUCUACUAUUUAAAAUAAUUAUUGACAUCAUUAUCUUAUAAUAACAUAAUUAGUUAUAAUAAGAUAAUUAUUGACUCUGAGGUGACCAUUCCAUCAGACUGGUGGAAAAUCUGACAUCCAUCAUUCGUGAAUCUUCUGAACUCAUCCCUUUGAUUUGAUUGUCAGAAUUCUUCCAGGAUCAUCUUCAGGGCCAAGGCAUCAAUUGGGGUGGAAGAUGCCCCCAGGUUAUUCACUUAUCUUUACAUGCAGCAGCAAGACUUCUUGAGGAUGUGGUGUGAGCCAAGGUUAUUGGGAACAGAAGGUAGGAGGUAGGUCAGCAAUGAUGGUGGUAGGACUGAUUGAAAGGUGGGGGUGUCUAGAUGGCCUGGUGUCUGUGUUGGCCUUUAGUUCCACUUGCUCAGUGGUUUCAACUUUAUGUUUUAGUGGAAUAUUUAGUUGAAUGACUGCUUACUUUCCCCAGUUUUCCAAAACUAAAAAAGUUAAUACAUAGAACUUCCUGAGUUUUACGUUUACCUAUUGGGAUAGACUGUCUUUAAGAGGUCUCUCGCCAGGACCCUCAUUUCCUGGCAUUCAUACCUUUGUGUAACCCUCUGUCCUUGAGUGUGGGCUAGACUUACUGACUUGUUUAAACAAAGAGAGGAUGUAGCAGAACAAUGAGAUGUUCCUCAUUUACUUACAUGGGAUGUUACUGAGUAGUGCUGGAAGCCAACCAUUCAGUACCAUUAGUAGGAGAAAUUGUUCAGGCUUUCUUAAACUAUGCGAAUUAUAUCUGAAAUACCUAUGUUAUGGUAUUUAUAACGUGGGUACUUUUUUAUACACUUUGCUACAUUUCAAGGAAAGCUGGCUUUGAUAGGACUUUCUAAUUUUUUAGACACUACAGUAUAUAAAUGGAAUCCCCAUUCCCAGUUGUUAAGAAGACUUUGCUCGUAUCAGGGGCAGAUUAUGUUUUUGUUGACAUUCUUCAGUGGGCCAAUUGAUAUAUGCUUUUUGACCUUCUAUUAGCAUCUUAAAUAACUUCUUACUUUUCCCUCUCUACUCUAUAGUAUACAUUAACAUAGUAUACUAUAAUAUUAUUAUUAACUUCGGGGUAAGGCAAAUCAAUAAUUUCAAGGACUAUCUGAAUUAUACUGGGUGGGUAUAGAUUUCACACAUUUUUGGUGAUAUUAAAAAUGUGUAUGUGGUACAAUUUUUACCUGGGAAUUAUACUUUAUACCCCUUUUCUCUUUACUGUAUAUAUUUGUUGUGCUCAAUGUUAUUUUUUUUGGUGACUCUUCUCUAACAUCAGUAGAUAUAAGGACAGCCUCUUCUGGCAUUCCCUUGUGGCACAGCAGAUUAAGGAUAUGGCGUUGUCACUUCGGCAGAUUGCUCCUGUGGCGUGGGUUCUAUCCCUGGCCUGGGAACUUCCACAUGCCGUGGGUGCAUCCCCCUCCCCCCCAAAAAUAGAACAGUUUUUUUUUUGUUGUUGUUAUUCAUGCUCUUUCCUUUGGCGUUUCUUGUUCAUAAUGAAUCUUGGUGUACUUUUAGAUUUGGUGCAGUUUUUUUGGAGUGUAUGUUGUUUUUACAAAUUUAGCUUUUUGUUGUUAUUGUUGUUGUUUUUCCCCCAUAACUAAUGUGAAGUCAGCAAUUUUAUUUUCCCUGCUCCAAGUGCUGUUGUCAUCAGCUGUCCCUGUAUAAUGGCUUUUGAUAUGUCCCAUUGUGACACAUUGGACCCUGUCCCUAGUUAAUCACUCAUUUUAGGAGGCUGAUUCUGGGCAACAAUGCUUUUAUUCCCUUUUCACUUUCAGUGUUAAAAUCCUUGGCAGUUCAUCAUACUCUACCAUUUUCUGAGGGCUGCAGCUUAAAUACCCAGCCACGUUAAAACUCUUCGCAGAUUGGCAGUGCCUCUUUUCUGAUUACCCUGACCAAAUCCUCUUAACUGCCCUGGUGGCCUGGGACGUUGUCAUACUUAGAAAAACUUUUACAGCCCCCUAUAACUUAUCUUUAUUUUAUACUGUUUUAGAACGUGUUUUUCCCAUGUUUUGUAAGAAAAUAAGCGCCACCUUGAAGUUCUUUAAAAACAUUUUCCAUGUUCUUACUUAAAAGUACUUUUAAAUGUAGAAAUACCUUAUCGGAUACUUUAUGACAUGUCUGAUCCCUCUUGCUUUUGGCCGAAAUCAUAACAAAAAGAUGAGAACUUUGGAUUUUAAUAUUUUAUUUUUUGGUUGAAAUAACAAAGAGAAACUUAACAGAGGAAAAAAUACUAUGCUAAAGUUACUGAGAUUUUAUAAAAUCUUUAUGAAUGUAUUUAUGUAUGUGGAUAUGACUAAUUGUAUGUAUAUAAUUUGUAGCAAAAGCUACUCUUGUUUCCUGUUUUGCCAAAACUGAUCCAGUUGGUAUAUACUCCCAAAGAACAGCACUGAGGAAAAACAUUUUCUAUGUGUUAAAAUCAGCUUUGAGCAUAAUCAUUUUCUCCCUGAUAUCUGUGGGCUUAUCGACUUCCUGUAGCCAGAGACGGGAAAAAGCCUCUUUCUUCAUCCUCCACGCAGGACUGCACACUGCUUACACUUGCUCACCUACCCUGGUUUAAAAAAAUAACAGAAAAAGAAUAACUUCAGAAGUAAAUACGUUUUGGUCAUACACUGUUAGAAACUGUAAUAAGGGACUGAAGAACUUGAAUUUUUUUGUUUUGAUUAAUAGCAAUAUUUUAUUAAGUAGCUAUUUGUUCUAGGGUUGCUGGAAACUUUCUACAAAGUUACGUUUUGGUCCCUGUGUUUUUACUUAAUUGUGGAGCUGUGGAAUGUGCAUAAUUCAUGGUUAGCAUAACAUAUCUUAAGAUAUAUUCAUCAUCAUCAUCAUAAGAUAUAUUCAUGGUUAUUAGAAGAUAGAUCCACUGAGAUUGAUGCUUUCUGUGAAUAAUCCAGACACUUAAGGCAUUUGGGGCAACUUUUUAAGACAGCUGUCGUGGCAUUUCAGUACAAAGUGGACUAGGUCUCAGAGAAUUAAAUUGCCUCUUGAAGUGGAACAUAUUUUUUCAAUAACUAAUAUUGGCGUUAGAGUGUCAGGAUCAACAGUGGCUUCAUGCAUUAAGUUGGGGGCAGAUUAGGAAGCAGAGCUUGCAGGUUUCUUGUGUCUAGGUCUUCUGCAUGGCAGAAAGUGACAGCAGCUGUUGGCUCAUGGCAGGAAGCACCGCGGCAACCUCAGGGUAGCACUGAGUCCUGAGAUACUGGGUUUUGUUACUUGUGGCAUUUGUAGUGACCAUGCUGGAGGAACAUUUCCUACAUAAAUCUAUGCAAGGAUCAUUUGAAAGGUGGAGGUCAGCAUUCUAGCUAAAUGCAGAUAAAAUUUCAGUUAAUGUAUACAGAUAUAAAAUAUGCAUGGAGACAAGAUGGUGUAGCAGAAAGAUAUUUCAGAAUGAGUGCCUGAUCUUCCCCAGCAUUAAAAUCCUAACUCUGGGUUCUCACAACUUGUGGUGACGUGUAGACUUUCAGUUACCCAGGAAUUGGGGACUUUAUGAAUAGGCAAUAUACUGUCUUUAAGACACAAAGUAUGAAAGUCGAAAGUUUUGGAAGAAGUAGUACUGGAUGGCUUCCUGGAAGAAAGAAGUUAUAAGGAGUGUUAACAGAAGGAAUACAAAGUCUCUUGGUUCACAGACUGAAAUCCAUGAUGCUCUAGGAUCUUCACCAUAGUUUCAGUGAUCUGUUUUACUGCUCAGUGGGUAUGUUGCUUAGUGAAUAUUGGUCUUGUUGCAAGGAUAAUGUCCUAUUUGAGUCCAAAAUAGCUCACACAUCUCUCUUGUGUUUAGUAAUAAAUUGCCACUAACCAUCAGGUAAAAGUUCAUUUUACAGGAUUCCAGAUGGUGCAUUUAACACCCUUUUUAAGGCUUCCUGUAACUAACUAAUGUGUAUAGUUAAUGCAGAUAUAGCUGAAUUCCAGUAUACUUUAAUUCUUAUAUGUAAGGUCUCCCCUCCAUCUUGCCUCAGGUUUUUCCCUCUUGGGCAUGUUUUUCUAUUUUUUCUGAACCCAGAAGUUACCACUGGCAGGAUUUCAGUCUCAGAAUUCUGUCAGCCUUUAAAGAUACAGCAUUGUGGCUUUUGAAAAAAGUUAUUUUAAAAUAACUUUGAAGUUAUUGAUGACAGCAGUGUUUUACUUGUUCUCAGGUGUUCCCUAAAUUCCAGCAGUGUUUCUUUCUCAUUGAGGUGCUUAAGGAAAAGUUUGUCCUUCCCUUUGUUCCUUUAGGAAAGUACCUCUAGAAUUUUAUUUACCUUAGAGAUUGUCUUGGGAAAAUGAACGGUUGUUAUGCCCUCUUUAGUCUUAGCAAAUUAAAUACUGUGUAGAAAGCAGAAUAAGGGGUCAUAAAAUCAAGGGACGCAAAGAUGAUAAGCAUCAAAUCAGAGGAGCUAAAUUUUUGCCACUAAAAAUAAACCUUUGUUUGAAGCAGAACUUUGGAAGUAUUUAGUUGACCUAGUAGGAAACAAUGACAUUCACUAGGGAGAAAUUUGUUUUCUUUUUCUGAAAUUAAUUUAUUAAAUGAAUGCAUGUCUGUGAGUCAGUUGGGAAGGCAUAUUGGGAAAAUCAAAAGUGCUACCACAUAAACUGUCUAGGAUUUGUUUAUUUUGAAUUUAUAUAGCCUCUUUUCUCCGGAGAUUUGAAGACACUGUGCAUAAAAUUUUAAAUCUUUUAAACAAUAGACAAUAAGUCGUAAAAUGUGAGCCCCUGCCUGGAAAGGUUAUAAUCUCUAAGGCUUUUUAAUGCACCCAGAUAUAAGCACUUUCAGUUAUAAAGGAAAAAUACUUAAAAUAUGAGCUUCUCACCUGGCUGAGUACCAAGAAUGAGAGUUACUUUGUGUAAACCUUCAUUCUUUCAGAUUUAGGUCUGUUUUUUCCUACUUAUUCUGACAUUUGAAGUUAGGGGUUUAACCUCAAAUAUGAAGCAUAUUGUAAAUUACUAGCUACUCUUUUAUAUUCUGGAGGGAUUGAGAGUCAGAGCUGCUUGGGCCAAUCGUUGAAAUGUAAUUUCCUCCAGGACCACGGUGGAAGAAUGAAUAUUGGAGACAGCACAAGAGGAUAAAGAGUUACCAGAAACACAGAAGUUAACGUUGUACCUCUGUGUGGGGUAAUAAAAAGCCAAUGAGUCAAAGCACUUCCCUCAAGGUUUUUUCCCUGAGAUUUGAAUGAAAAGAAAAGUCAAAUGCUGGAAAUAAUGUGUAACACGUAGCAACUGUGCUACUAGUACUGGUAACACUAUUGCUACCAGGUCAAUGACAGAAUAUUUGAGUAUAACAUUUCUACAUAGUUGAUUUUUACAGGAUUACUCACCUCCAUGGAAUAAAAUAUCUUGACACUAUUUUUUCAAUAUUAAGAAGAGAUAUACAUUUUAAUAGGCUUGAAAUUGGAACAGAGCUUUGAGAAUGUUUUGUGAGACUUUUCAAAAUCCAGUUUCUUUUAACUUAAAAUUCCCACUGGUUUUCAAAAUUGUCCUUUUGAAAACAGGAAGAAUGUUCACGGCGGGAUGGUGGUUAGUGACUUUUCACUGAUAGUCACCAUGCAUGUAUAUUCAAAGGCGUCAUGCAAAAAUCCAUAUGGAAGUGAGAAUGUGAAGAAAGAGGGGUGGAAAAGGGAGAGGACAGUGGAGGCUGACAGAGGUACCACUGUGGUACCCUCAGAAGAAGCACCAUUACCCCCGGUGAGCACACAGUGAUGAGCUGGCAGCUGGUACACUUUGCCCUCCUGCAUCUCUCUUCCCUUGGACAGUGUUCCAAGCAGUCACGCACAGUUCCAAAGCCAUGGACGCUGCGUUUCCACAGAGCUGUAGUUCCUGAAGUUCUUGCCCUGACCUGAAGCAUGGGGAAUGCACAGAGAGUACAAAAGACAGUCUUAAAAGGAAUCAUACCUUCUUGGCUUGUUGAGUUAUUUGCGUACUAUGAAGGAUUUGUUCAUUAUUUUAAGCAAUAUUAUGGCUUUAGCCAUGUUUAAGAGAGAGAGUGGAAAUUUUACCUAUUUUGGUUAAUUGAUUGAGCCUGUAUAAUAGUUAAUGAAAUCCCAUUUCCAGAUACCAGUGCUGCAGUCUCAGGCUGCUUUUUAGCUUGUGAUAUGUGGAGAAAGAAAAGAACAGCUUGUUUUAUU
Molecule: long non-coding RNA, 7870 nt
Filed under: Sus scrofa (pig)
Lineage: Eukaryota; Metazoa; Chordata; Mammalia; Artiodactyla; Suidae
Description: lncRNA (ENSSSCG00000063253.1, ENSSSCG00130020540.1)
Source: RNAcentral